UGACCAAGCCCGAGUGACUGUUUACCAAAAACACAKGUCUCCGCAAAGUCGUAAGACCAUGUAUGGGGGCUGACGCCUGCCCCGUGCCAGAAGGUCAAGGAAUUUGGUGAACUGAUGACAGGGAAGCCGGCGACCGAAGCCCCGGUGAACGGCGGGCAUAACUAUAAUGGUCCUAAGGUAGCGAAAUUCCUUGUCAGUUAAGUUCUGACCCGCAAGAAAGGCGUAACGAUCUGGGC
RNAcentral lists this non-coding RNA (236 nucleotides) under Dichanthelium oligosanthes. RNAcentral describes it as "Bacterial large subunit ribosomal RNA". It matches the Rfam family "Bacterial large subunit ribosomal RNA", at positions 1783 to 2014 of the family's 2925-position model. The record is from Rfam by way of RNAcentral. Lineage: Eukaryota; Viridiplantae; Streptophyta; Magnoliopsida; Poales; Poaceae.